CAGCCGGGGAGAGAGAAUGGAGGUGGUUUGCAUGGCGCGGGGUGUGAGUUUCGUGCGUUGUCUGCGUGUUUGGGGAGCUUCAUGAAGUGUGCACGGGUGAGUGAGAGCGUGGCGUGAAUGUCCUUGAGCUUGCGACGCUUUUUCUUACACAUUGAUCUUAUUUGAUCGGGCCGGGAGGUUGCCGUCUCCUCUGGUCUGAAAUGAGAAGACGCCUUUCCUGUGAAGCCUUCGGGCGCUGUACAGCGAAACGGGUUGCAGGCGGCGCUUAGCCGGAGAUGAUGAAUUGAUCAGAUAGAUGAGGCCGAAUGGAGGGGAUACUCUCCUUACUGGCCAGUGUGUACUGAGGCGAUUCUGAUCCGG
Heteronotia binoei (common prickly gecko) is the source of this 360-nucleotide non-coding RNA. RefSeq annotates it as small Cajal body-specific RNA 2. The transcript has a single exon. The record is from RefSeq and is a predicted model, not a curated record. NCBI's taxonomy places the organism in Eukaryota, Metazoa, Chordata, Lepidosauria, Squamata, Gekkonidae.